RNAcentral lists this ribosomal RNA (232 nucleotides) under uncultured bacterium. Its description in RNAcentral is "partial 16S ribosomal RNA". It matches the Rfam family "Bacterial small subunit ribosomal RNA", at positions 118 to 347 of the family's 1533-position model. The record is from RNAcentral.
UGAGCAAUCUGCCCUUCUCAUCGGAAUAAGCGUUGGAAACGACGUCUAAUGCCGAAUACGACCUCCUUUCGCAUGAUCGGAGGUGGAAAGCUCCGGCGGAGAAGGAUGAGCUCUCGGCCUAUCAGCUAGUUGGUGGGGUAACGCUCACCAAGGCAACGACGGGUAGCUGGUCAGAGAGGAUGGCCAGCCACAGUUGGGACUGAGACACCGGCCCAGACCUCGUACGGGGAGG